GACGAACGCUGGCGGCGUGCCUAAUACAUGCAAGUUGAGCGCUGAAGGUUGGUACUUGUACCAACUGUAUGAGCAGCGAACGGGUGAGUAACGCGUGGGGAAUCUGCCUUUGAGCGUGGGACAACAUUUGGAAACGAAUGCUAAUACCGCAUAAUAACUUUAAACACAAGUUUUAAGUUUGAAAGAUGCACUUGCAUCACUCAAAGAUGAUCCCGCGUUGUAUUAGCUAGUUUGUGAGGUAAAGGCUCACCAAGGCGAUGAUACAUAGCCGACCUGGGAGGGGGAACGGGCAAAGUGGGAAUGAGAAAAGGCCCAAAACACCAAGGGAGGAAGCAGUAGGGAAACCUUGGCAAUGGACGAAAGUCUGAACGGGGAACGCCGGGGGAGUGAAGAAGGGUUUCGGGUCGUAAAAAUCUGUUGGUAGAGAAGAAAGUUAGGGAGAGUGGAAAGCUCAUAAAGUGACGGUAACUAACCAGAAAGAGACGGCUAACUACGUG
RNAcentral lists this ribosomal RNA (497 nucleotides) under uncultured bacterium. RNAcentral's name for it is "partial 16S ribosomal RNA". It matches the Rfam family "Bacterial small subunit ribosomal RNA", at positions 28 to 507 of the family's 1533-position model. The record is from RNAcentral.